CGAGCGGACAGAUGGGAGCUUGCUCCCUGAUGUUAGCGGCGGACGGGUGAGUAACACGUGGGUAACCUGCCUGUAAGACUGGGAUAACUCCGGGAAACCGGGGCUAAUACCGGAUGCUUGUUUGAACCGCAUGGUUCAAACAUAAAAGGUGGCUUCGGCUACCACUUACAGAUGGACCCGCGGCGCAUUAGCUAGUUGGUGAGGUAAUGGCUCACCAAGGCAACGAUGCGUAACCGACCUGAGAGGGUGAUCGGCCACACUGGGACUGAGACACGGCCCAGACUCCUACGGGAGGCAGCAGUAGGGAAUCUUCCGCAAUGGACGAAAGUCUGACGGAGCAACGCCGCGUGAGUGAUGAAGGUUUUCGGAUCGUAAAGCUCUGUUGUUAGGGAAGAACAAGUACCGUUCGAAUAGGGCGGUACCUUGACGGUACCUAACCAGAAAGCCACGGCUAACUACGUGCCAGCAGCCGCGGUAAUACGUAGGUGGCAAGCGUUGUCCGGAAUUAUUGGGCGUAAAGGGCUCGCAGGCGGUUCCUUAAGUCUGAUGUGAAAGCCCCCGGCUCAACCGGGGAGGGUCAUUGGAAACUGGGGAACUUGAGUGCAAAAGAAGAGAGUGGAAUUCCACGUGUAGCGGUGAAAUGCGUAUAGAUGUGGAGGAACACCAGUGGCGAAAGCGACUCUCUGGUCUGUAACUGACGCUGAGGAGCGAAAGCGUGGGGAGCGAACAGGAUUACAUACCCUGGUAGUCCACGCCGUAAACGAUGAGUGCUAAGUGUUAGGGGGUUUCCGCCCCUUAGUGCUGCAGCUAACGCAUUAAGCACUCCGCCUGGGGAGUACGGUCGCAAGACUGAAACUCAAAGGAAUUGACGGGGGCCCGCACAA
RNAcentral lists this ribosomal RNA (884 nucleotides) under Bacillus mojavensis. RNAcentral describes it as "bacterial SSU rRNA". It matches the Rfam family "Bacterial small subunit ribosomal RNA", at positions 63 to 928 of the family's 1533-position model. The record is from RNAcentral. Lineage: Bacteria; Bacillati; Bacillota; Bacilli; Caryophanales; Bacillaceae.